CGUUCGGCCACGGGCCACGCCGCGUCGGGGACGCGGUCAUAGUCGACGACGAUGACGGCGGCACCCGUGCGGUCGGCGAGCGUCCGCGCCAGGCGUUCGUGCGUCGCAAAGUCGCCAUAGGCUCCGUGCACGUAGACGAUGCCGGGCAAGAGGGCGCAGCCUUCGGGAUCGGCCCACGGGGCGCGCACGACGUGUACGGUCACGGCGCACUGGGCAUCAUCCUCGACGGGCACGACGGCGGGCACGACCGCUGCCGGCGCCAACCUCAGCGGAUGGUAGACGGCGCGUUGCGCCUCGUCCAAGAGGCACCGACCGUGGCGCAGGUCCUGCAGCGCCCUCGUGCCGCCAAAGGAUUCGACGAGGCGUGCCGCUGUUGGGUCGAGCGGCGGCCGCGCUGUCAGCGGCGGUUUCUGCGUUGCCUGUACCGCCGACGGUCGACUUGACGAUGAACCCAUGUGUGUGUAAACAAAAAUUAUGCC
RNAcentral lists this long non-coding RNA (479 nucleotides) under Pandoravirus neocaledonia. RNAcentral describes it as "hypothetical ncRNA". The record is from RNAcentral.